This is a long non-coding RNA of Lutra lutra (Eurasian river otter), 362 nucleotides long. RefSeq lists it as uncharacterized. Lineage: Eukaryota; Metazoa; Chordata; Mammalia; Carnivora; Mustelidae. The record is from RefSeq and is a predicted model, not a curated record. The transcript is spliced from 3 exons.
UGGAGAUCAAACAUUGGAAUGUUCUCUCAUUUCUGAAUAGUGAUACUAAACCAUGUCUGAGCUUUGGCUCAACGUGCUUGGAGACUGAUCCCAACUUCACCUUCCUGUGUGGGUUGGGAUUCCUCCUUCUGUUCUGUGCUACCUGUGGGGAUUCCAUAUCCAACUUGGAAAACCAAAACUACCCAAAAGGACUUCUGACUGGGAAUACCAAGUGUGGACCUCCCAGACAAAGUCGUCCCCUGAGUUUUUCAAAGAAAGUCAGGGCAGAGCCAAGAGGAGGAGGAAAGGUGGGACUCUGAAAGGUAAGGUUCUGCUUAUUCCACCUGAGCUCUCCAAGGCUGAUCCUUGCUGUCCUCUCCAUG